UGCUUUUACUUUAACAAGAGUGAACAAAAAUAAAAUUAUUAUUCUCAUAUUAACCAAUAAAUGUAAAUCAAUACACAAGACAAACAAAAUGCAAAAUGAAUAUUUUAGAUCCAAUAAGAAAAGUAAAUAGAGAAAUGUAUAGAUUUAUUAAAUGAGUAGUAGUGAAUAGGUUUGUCCCUUAAUGUAAAAUGAGAUACAUCAUGGCACCAUAAUAAUUUACAUAUAUCAAAACACAAGUCUGGAAUUUACAUCCAGUCUAUAGUAGAAAAGUUUACUGCACUAAUAUAUUUAACAAUAAAAUAAAUGACAUAAAUACUGAUUAAACUUUAAGGAACAUAAUAGAGUAGUAUCUAGCUCACUUGAAAUGAAACAAGCAUUAGAAAAGUUUGAUCAUGGGGCAAAACUUAGUGGUUAUGGACUUCAAAUCAAUGUAUCUUAGCAUUCUAUUAUAGCCAGCUAUUGCAUAUAUAUGUAAUUAUUUAAGAUACAGCAGUUAAUCAAGAAGAAUUCCAUACUUUGUCAAAUUGUAUAUAUUUAAUAAUAAAAAAACUCAUAUUUCACAGUUGAUAACUAUUUUAUGAAAAUGAGAGGCUGUCCUAUAAAUUUCCCGCUAGCAAGAUAUUCCAGAAAUCUUAAAGAAAAACUAAAGAGAAACUGUUUAAUAACUUUUCCACUAGUGGAUAAAUUUUGCAGAAGAUAUGUUGACACUAUAAUGAUGAUUAUAUAUAAAACUGCAAACAUUUCUAGGAUCGUAAACCUAAUUAAUCAGUAUAAUUGGC
This 779-nucleotide long non-coding RNA is filed under the name Androctonus crassicauda. Lineage: Eukaryota; Metazoa; Arthropoda; Arachnida; Scorpiones; Buthidae. The record is from RNAcentral.